AAAGGUAAGCUACUAAGAGCGAAUGGUGGAUGCCUUGACUGGUAAAGGCGAUGAAGGACGUACUAGACUGCGAUAAGCUACGGGGAGCUGUCAAGAAGCUUUGAUCCGUAGAUUUCCGAAUGGGGCAACCCAAUGUAUAGAGAUAUACAUUACCUAUAUAGGAGCGAACGAGGGGAAUUGAAACAUCUUAGUACUCUCAGGAAAAGAAAUCAAUAGAGAUUGCGUCAGUAGCGGCGAGCGAAAGCGCAAGAGGGCAAACCCAGUGCUUGCACUGGGGGUUGUAGGACUGCAAUGUGCAAGAGGUAAGUUUAGCAGAACAUUCUGGAAAGUAUAACCAUAGAGGGUGAUAGUCCCGUAUGCGAAAAACAAACCUUAGCUAGCAGUAUCCUGAGUAGGGCGGGACACGAGGAAUCCUGUCUGAAUCCGGGUCGACCACGAUCCAACCCUAAAUACUAAUACCAGAUCGAUAGUGCACAAGUACCGUGAGGGAAAGGUGAAAAGAACUGAGGUGAUCAGAGUGAAAUAGAACCUGAAACCAU
Molecule: ribosomal RNA, 539 nt
Filed under: Campylobacter jejuni
Lineage: Bacteria; Pseudomonadati; Campylobacterota; Epsilonproteobacteria; Campylobacterales; Campylobacteraceae
Description: partial 23S ribosomal RNA
Rfam family: Bacterial large subunit ribosomal RNA
Source: RNAcentral